Molecule: non-coding RNA, 143 nt
Organism: Mus musculus (house mouse)
Lineage: Eukaryota; Metazoa; Chordata; Mammalia; Rodentia; Muridae
Source: Rfam
CCCCUCUGGCAAUGGACAAAGAGACACCUUGUUGCCAGUAUUGUUCUUAUAUCAGUCAGGGCAGAGCAGUUGGCAGUCCUUUGUUCAUCCUAGCUUGAUGCCUGGCUUGGUGUCCAAAGCUGUUUUAUGCCUAGGACCCAUAA